AUUGAACGCUGGCGGCAUGCCUUACACAUGCAAGUCGAACGGCAGCAUGGGUGCUUGCACCUGAUGGCGAGUGGCGAACGGGAGAGUAAUGCAUCGGAACGUGCCCUGAAGUGGGGGAUAACGUCGCGCAAGUUACGCUAAUACCGCAUAUUCGGUGAGCAGGAAAGCAGGGGAUCGCAAGACCUUGUGCUUUUGGAGCGGACGAUGUCGGAUUAGCUAGUUGGUGGGGUAAAGGCUAACCAAGGCGACGAUCCGUAGCGGGUCUGAGAGGAGGAUCCGCCACACUGGGACUGAGACACGGUCCAGACUCCUACGGGAGGCAGCAGUGGGGAAUUUUGGACAAUGGGCGCAAGCCGGAUCCAGCCAUGCCGCGUGAGUGAAGAAGGCCUUCGGGUUGUAAAGCUCUUUCGGUGGGGAAGAAAUGGUUUCGGUUAAUACCCGGAAUUGAUGACGGUACCCGCAUAAGAAGCACCGGCUAACUACGUGCCAGCCGCCGCCGUAA
Molecule: ribosomal RNA, 502 nt
Filed under: uncultured bacterium
Lineage: Bacteria
Description: partial 16S ribosomal RNA
Rfam family: Bacterial small subunit ribosomal RNA
Source: RNAcentral